CCUACGGGCGGCUGCAGUGGGGAAUUUUGGACAAUGGGGGCAACCCUGAUCCAGCCAUGCCGCGUGCGGGAAGAAGGCCUUCGGGUUGUAAACCGCUUUUGUCAGGGAAGAAAUCUUCCGAGCUAAUACCUUGGGAGGAUGACGGUACCUGAAGAAUAAGCACCGGCUAACUACGUGCCAGCAGCCGCGGUAAUACGUACGGUGCAAGCGUUCAUCGGGAUUGCGCGGGGUAAUGUGCAAGCAGGCGGUGAAAUCCCCGGGCUUAACCUGGGAACUGCACUUGUGACUGUACGGCUGGAGUACGGCAGAGGGGGAUGGAAUUCCGCGUGUAGCAGUGAAAUGCGUAGAUAUGCGGAGGAACACCGAUGGCGAAGGCAGUCCCCUGGGCCUGUACUGACGCUCAUGCACGAAAGCGUGGGGAGCAAACAGGAUUAGAUACCCUUGUAGUC
RNAcentral lists this ribosomal RNA (449 nucleotides) under uncultured bacterium. RNAcentral describes it as "partial 16S ribosomal RNA". It matches the Rfam family "Bacterial small subunit ribosomal RNA", at positions 338 to 795 of the family's 1533-position model. The record is from RNAcentral.